Molecule: long non-coding RNA, 7920 nt
Filed under: Musa acuminata (dwarf banana)
Lineage: Eukaryota; Viridiplantae; Streptophyta; Magnoliopsida; Zingiberales; Musaceae
Description: long non-coding RNA (MACU_LNC004205)
Source: RNAcentral
AAAUAAAUAUUUUGAGAAGAGCCAACACAAGUUCCUAAAAGUCAAGUCGACGAUUUCAAGUCAUAACCCCUUAAAAACUAUAUUUGAGAGACAAAUUAAAAGGACUCAACUUAAAGGAACACAACUUUAAAUGUUACAAAUUAGAUCUCCAUGGAGUUGUAGGACACUUUGGAGAUGCUAAACAAUCUCAUCACAAUAAAUGAUACUCAACUUAACAAUACACAACUCAAAAGUGUCCUACAAACAUUAGAGAUCAUCACUCUAAUACUUAUCUUAAUUAUAAGCAGCCUCUAAAUCCCCUUAAGAAAGAGAUUUUUGCCACACACAUCCCCAAGCAAUUUUGUAAGAAUGUAACCAAACCCAGGUGAAGUACUAUUACAUGAAUCAAACAUUCAAACAUUAUAUCGACAUUAAUGAAACAAUUGAUUCUCCUUUCUCAAGGCAUCAAUUUGCAAUCGCCACUCCAAAACAUACUAACCAACAUUGUAUCGACAAUAAAGAAAUAAUUGAUUCUCCUUUCUCAAGGCAUCAAUUUGCCGGGACAUUAAUAAACGGAUUGAAUGUCAAAUAAGGCUUCAAAGUACGUCUAUCCGCGUACUGGUUGGUACCUAUCGGUGAUCGGACGCCAAUAAGAGGCUCAGAAUACAUUGCUCAGAAGCCAAGCGUAACAAAGGCACUUCAUCGAAGACCCAAUUUGGUUGAAAGGAUCUUCUUACGUGUUAGCAGCUCAUCAUAGCAAUGUUUUCUCGGUGUUGACGAAAACCACACAGGCGAACGCUAAAUAAGCAGGUUUAGAAUCGAUACUGCUUAGUCUUUUGAAACACAUGGCUGUUUCAUACGGCCAAAAAGGAAAACUCGAAUGCAUUAUAGAAAAUGAAGCGCCAAUCAUGCAUAUCUCCACAAAUUGCUACAAGAAAUAUCAAUUGUUUGGCGAGCUAAUCUACAUCAUGUAAUGAAUGAUACCUAGAACUCAGUGAACGCUUGCCUGCUUCUAGUCCCAGAAUCAAAAGACAGAGACACUGAAUGCUUAGAAUCAAGGGAAAGGGAACCCGAAAUCGUUGCCAGAGACGGAAAAAAAGGACAAGAACGAAUGACUUGCAUAAUCGGGGAUCAAGCGAUUUUUAACACAAAUCAAUUUUGUAUCGAAGCAAAGAGUAAAAUCCUGGAGAAACCGAAACAAUCAGCGAAAAUCCAACUGCGCAAUAUCACAAGUGCACAAACUUUGACCGACAAGAGGUCUCCUCACUACAACCAAGGACCACGGGUCUCCGGCUGAAAUCAUUCGCGAAGCCCCUAGAAACAGUGGAACAAAGGCAACGACGAAGGAUUCGGCGAAAGAAAGGGGAGAGGAAACGAGGAGGUAAGGUCGCCUCCGCAAGCGAAUGGGAGGACGCGAACGAAUCGGAAGCUCGGACCACCACCGCUUAUAUAGCGCUGGAGGUCCGAAAACCCUAAAGCGUUCGGCCGAUCGCCUCCUCGUGUUAUGACCUAAGUGCCCCUGGUGGCCGAUUUGUUCGUUCCUUAUGUUAAGACGAAAGUACCCUUGAGCGUCCAAGAACCAACGGUUUCAGAUCCGUAUGUUAUGACGAAAGUACCCUCGAUCUUCCAAGAACCAACGGUUUUAGAUCCAUGGGCUAAAUAAAUAGCAAAUGCAAUAGAGACGCAUGUAAUGACGGAAGUGCCCCCGUAGGACCCAAGAAUUCCAAUCGACUCCAACGUAUUUGGAGCCUUCUGAUGCCUCGAGCAGAGUGAAAGGGAAGCCUUCAUCCAAAGCUUUGGGGCCGGAUUUGAAGUGAGAAAAAAUUGUGACAAAUACACAGCUGAAACUUAUACAGAUUAAUUUUAAUUUUCGUGCAUUAAUGGCUCCUCACAAGUAUGUGCUUUCGCUGGACCGACAGCAGAAAGCGCCUCAAAGAACGGGAGGAGGUCGCUAACAAGUCUCUCGUGAAUUCAUAUGACCACGGAAAGUCUCGCCAGCUCCCAAAGCAAUAUGAAGAACAAGAAGAAAAAGACGCAUAUCGCAUAGAGAAGGAAUGCCACAAAGCGUCUCUUCCUUGUGCUGUAGGCGAUGAUAGGGCAUGUAAGCGAGUUGGGAACAAAACUGAAAAGGACAAGUAGUUCAGGAAAAAGGAAACGAAACUAAGAUUUAGAGAUGAUAAAAAAAAAAAAAUCCACAGUAUUAAUCGAGGUACUAACAUUGAGAACUAGUCAUACCACUCCUCUCAAAGAAUCCAGUUUUUGAUGAAAUAAGAGACUGAAUUCAAAACCAUAAAAGAACAUAGGAAAAGCUUAUCGAAAUUUUUUGAUGAACAGGACAAAGAUUUAGCUUCUCAAAAUUUUUCGAUGAACAUGACAAAGCUCCUCGAAACCAUUAAGAUUUUCAAUGCUACAUCAAAACUCGAAGCAUUAUAUCUUCGUCUUGGAUGUCUACAUCAUAUACAGUCAUCAUAUCAACCUCGGACGGACUGAAUAUGUUUCGACCUGGCUACAGACACAGCUCAACAAUUCUCCCUUUCCCCAAUGAACUGCAAUGAGAUAAAAGAUAUGGACAACAUUAUGCAUCAAACAAGCAGUAGAAAUUUACAGUGUCAGUGACCGAGAAAUGCCAAGUAGGUAGAAAGCACACACUCAUGACCGAGUCAUGCUUUGAGAAAAGUCAUUGUUCCAAUACACUUGAUGUUAGCUAUUGCUUGUCAAUCGUGUUGACGAGCUCAAUGCUUCAGUGAUCCUACUGAAGACGAGUCUAAGUGGAACACAUGCAACGGCAGGUCCCACCAUCUUUUCAACCACUGGCUUUCUCUCUUCUCCCUUUUCUUUCUGAUCAACAUUAAUUGAUGACAGCCUUCUGAUCUUUCUGGGAGACAACCUUGGUUUCCUGUUUUUCGAAUAUUUCCUUUUCAAUGAAGUAACAUUUGUAACUUCACAGUUUAUCCCAACAACAUUGAGAUACAUCUGGGCCGACUUCCUUUUAGGUAGCGAUUUCCCAAUACUAUUUCCCCCAUCCUUCAGUGACUGAUCAAUAUGCCUGGUAGUUAACAGAGUAUCGACUAAGCCAUCUUCCACAACCUCUAUAGGAACGGGGUGACCGACAAUUUCUUUACUAUUUGAUUUACUCAUGAGAGAUAUUAGAGGUACAUGAGGUCCACGAUAGCUUGAUUGUACAGUCACUUCAACAUCGUAUAGACAAGAACCCACACCUGUAAAUUUCAGUUGCUUCGACACCUGAUACUUAGAGCUAGUUGAUAGAGAAACCUGGCCAUGAGGAAACAAUCGUUGAAUCAGCAGAGCGGAGAUAGGCACAUGUCUCUUGGAUGAUCUAUCUUGAUCUCUUGCAUGUGCAGGCUGAAUUUUUACAAGUUCUGACAGGGAAUGUCCAUGUUCAUCAGAAAGGUGAAGAUCAGAACUCUGAUUUGGGGGAACGUCAUGUACCUCUGAGACUGAUUCAUCCUUCACCAACUGACCACCAUGAGAAUUGGAGGUCACGGAUUCACCAAAACAACUGCCAUCAAUUUUACAACCUGCAAAAUACCUUUCCUCCUGUAUUUUACCCUUCAAGGAACUGUCAGGAACAGCCCCAUUCAUAAAGUUUUCUGAACUUGUAUUUUUGCUAAACCUUGAAUUGUUCAGGUUCUUUUUAUGGUUUAAAUGCCGUUCCAAGGACCUUUUUUCUGUUUCCCCUUUGAUGUUCUUAAACCGACCCUCCGAGCCAGUGAAGCUACUCUCACCAAGUCCUUCUGUGAAGUGUGAUUCAAGUUCAUCCUGGUGGCAACCAUUAUGUUGCUUUUCUGCUACAUCAGGGUGAAGAUCUCUAGUUGGAAAGUGUUCAAACAUGAUUGAAAAAUCUGGAACAUCAUAUUACAAACAAGUUAGUCAUUUUUACAAUCAAGAUUAUUGCAUUAACAUGGAAGACAAAAAGUGCACAUUCUCUGCAUUCUAAAUUGUAAUUAUGUACAUAACACCAACAUCAUAGUAACAGAAGAAUAACAUCUAGUUAUUUCAGUGCUGAUAAUUUUAUUUGGCACAGUUUAUAGUCUCACACAUAUGGUUGCCUUAAACUUAUGUUUCUUUAAAACAACUAAGCACCUUUAUAGAUCAAAACUAACUAACGAAUAAACAAGUGAGAGAAAAGAAGUUGGAAAGCAACAAAGUGACAUGAAAAGAUUACAGAACGAAAAAAUAGUCAGCAAAAAAUCCUGACAUAUUAUCAAGUUCCCAAAAAGAUAUAUGAUUAAUAUAUCAGUAGUAAGAAUCUGCAUUAACAAGAUUAAUUAAACAUGAAUUUACCAGCAAACAAGGGUAAAUGCUGAGUCUUUGGUAUCAUCAGGUAAAGACAUUCAAGUCAACUCCUAAUAAAAGAAAUUUUAAGGGUAAUGUGGGUGUGCAAAAUACAGACACCAUAACAUUGUUUGGUGAAAGAAGCAAGCUUACAUAAGCAUAAUUUGAAAUAUGUAAUUUCCUCAAAGAAUGACAAAAUGUUCUACAUGUAUAUCUCCUCACAAACUCAUGCAAAGUUGGUAGUCACUACAGUAGAAAUUGUACUUACGACAGUGUGCAUAAUAUCCUACUGGUGCAUGCUGCAGCAUGCCUGUGCAUAAUUGAUGUAGAUCGAGAGGUCAUGAAUCGGUCUAGGUUAAGAUGGGCCAUAUUACUUUUUCUGUUUUUAAAUAUUUAAGAAAAUUCUCAUUGCUUCUUUAUAUUUUGGAAAUAAAUAUCAAUGAGUUUGAGUCCCAAAAAACCAAGGACUCAAACUCACAAGCUAUACUGCCAUCUUUAUAUUUUGGAAAUAAAUAUCAAUGCUUUUACGUCAGAAAAAUAAACAAUGAAUAAGCCAUGGUCAUUAGUUUCUUACAACAAGGGGGGGGGAAAGACAAAUUUUUGGAGCUUGAUUGUUGAUAGAAAGGUCCUAUGAUCGAAUCUCAUCUUUGACGCUUACCAAAGUGAAAAUAAAAAGAGCUUAAGGGAUAAUAGUAACAAUAUUCUUAACCUACUAGCUUAACAACACGAAAAAUUCAAGAUGUAUAUGAACACUUAAACAGUAGUAGAAGUCAAGACUUGCAAUCAAGGUAAGAUAAGCUGAACUGCAACACGGAUAUGAUAAACAGAAAUGCACUCUCUACAACCAUAGGUAAUACUUGUUUACAAGGAACGCAGUCUCAUACCGACUGGCCAUAUCAGUCCUAGUCGAACAGGUACAUACAUACCCACUGAUAUAAGUGUAUGGCACAUGGUACACGAGUAUGUACCAAUGAAAUAGAUGGCAGCGGAGAAGAAAGGAGGAAGGAGGAAGAGGAAGUAAGAAAAGAGGCAGUGAAGAAAGAGGAGGAAGAAGAAAAAGAAGGAAGAGGAAAGAAGAAGAGGUGGCCGUGGAGGAAGGAGGAAGGGGGAAGAGGAAAAGGAUACAAGAAGGAUGGAGGAAGAAGAGGAGGAAGAGAAGGAAACAUAUCUGAAACGACAGCAGGCAAUGGGCGGCGGGCAGUGAGAGGUGAUAGCAAUGACUCGGAUGAGUGUCGGGGAAGAGAGCUAACGAAUGCAAGCCCAAACUUGUUUUUUUUUUUAUUGGUUGGAACAGACUGCCUGAAACGCGAUAGUCCAUGUACCAUUCUAUGUCCAAACCGGUAUGCUUUACUUAUCUGAGCAAAACAGCAUUCCUCGGUUGUGUACAUAUAAUCCUCUCCAACCUUCCAUUGGCACAAAAAAUCAUGUACCAAGCUAUAGUUAGUAAUAAAUUAAGUAGACGAUAAGAAAGAGAUGACACUCAUCCAAGAAUAUGACUGCAAGAAUCUAGAAUUCAUCAAAAAAGGAAAAAAAAUUAUAAUAGAAACAAACCCUCAAAUGUAAUAAUCCAGGUGAAAAAAAUUUCUGGAUAAGUACCUAUGAUGACCAAGUAUGCAGCAUAAGGACACAUCUUAAACUAAAACUGGGUUUAAGCUACAAGAAGCAUAAAAAUCCUUAUAGUAUGUCAAUACCAAUAUCCCACUCUACAGUGGGCAGCUGCAAAAUCCAAGUUCGUUGACAAGGUAACAUUGACAGAUUAUCUGGUAUAACAAUGGCAUCCAAGUCAUGUAACUUAGUAAUGCCAAUUUAUGAUCAGAAUGGCAUAAUAAAUGGCACAUGAAUGCACUGAAAAUGCCUAACAUUAGUUUACCAUGCUGAAGCAACAAGAUGUGUCAUCUCAUGCAAUUUAACUUUAAAUGUCAGGAUCUUCAUUGUUAUUCAAAUUUAGAAAUAGAAGAAAAUUAUAAGAAGAUCAAUUUUUAACACAAACAAAGGAGGAAAUUUGUAAGCAUACCUUCCCUGAUAUUGUCUGCCAUUAUCAGGGGAAUAUCAAUGAGGCCAUCGGAGCAGUCAUUGUCAAUAAACUCCAACAUGCUCGCAAGCUCCGAGUCCUUUACUUCAGAAUCAAAAUUUGCAUCAUCAAUUUCACGAGUGUUCUCACAAGCAUUCAACAAUGCCUCACUUGAAGUUCCUGAACAGUGUGGGCUGACGGUGAUGUCACAUGAAAUAUCUGUCCUCCUUGAAUUAGAUAGCAAUUCAUUCAACUUAUUUGGAGAAGCCCCUUGAAGAGAUGGUUGCCCUCCAAAAGCACCAUCCCAGUGACAAUAUGAUGGAACUAUAACUUUAGUACCCUCGCAAACUUUACUAAGUGCUAGUCGACGAUCUUUUCUUCUCACAUUCUCAUGAGAUUGGGCCACAUGUGAUCUCUUCCUUUUCAGGGAUGAAAAAGAAUCUUUGCUGCUCUUUAUUGAACUCAAACUAGAAAAUCCAUCAUAAAUGUCUGACUUGCUAAGUGAAGCAUUGUCAGGAAGGCCUAGCUCAGUGGACCAUCCUGUGCUAGCAUGCACAUUAGGCUUUCUAUUGGAUACAACCCCCAAACCUAUUUCCUGAAGAUCUCUCAUUCGUUUUAUUCCUUCGUUAUCUUCUGAAUCAUUUGGAGUUUUCCUUCUUUUUUUUUCUGAUUGCUUAAUAUCAGGAGAAAUCAGAUCGUUUGUUUGUUCAUAUGACACUAAAGAUUGAGAUACCUCUUGAGCCGAAUUCUCCUCAAGAACAUCGAGUUUCCUGGCCACAUGACCUAAUUGUUUGUCAAGCCCAUAUACCUUUCUUGACUUCAUGGGAAAAUCAUAACCCAUUGUUCUGAAAGGGUCCUUCACUCCUGAGCCAUUCUGCUUCCCAGUAAGGAAGUAAGCCUUUUCAAUCUCCAGGGCAUGGAGAAUGGCAUCUUCUCUGCGAAUGUACUUCCCUGUACUGGUUGAACUUUUCUUUGAACGGAUUGCAAAAGCCAUGGCCUUCUGAAUGCACUCAUCAAACUCCCCACAACGAAAUGCUUUGACACGAGUUGAUUUUGCAAGAUUAUACCAGUCCCUGAUUGCAAGUUGAUUAUUAGCAAACUUAAGCUUAUACUGACUGCAUGGUACUUAAACCAUGAAAUAGAAAGGUGAACAGAUAUAGCAUAUGUGCAUAUAGCUACUUUGCUCAGAUUUUGUAACCGCAUAAUUCAAGAUACAGAAAAUCAUGCACCAAACAUAAAUAAACGAAAGAAGGCACAAUCAGUAUCAUUGUUGUUGCCAUGUUCCUUGUUAUUUUCCAAGAUGUCACUGAGCAACUUAGGUUGGCCUUGAUGCACAACUGUUAAGUCAAUAAGGCUCCAUGGAAGGUUUGAGUUGCCUUUUUUUUAUAGCUCUCUGUCUAAAGUUGACUAAAAAAUUACCAUCAAAUCCCAGCCAAAAUAGAAGUAGUGGCAGCAAAUGAACUCAUUUUACAUCCCUUGUCUUUAAAGCCAGCUGAAACAAUGGUGUGAGGUAGAAUUAAAAAAAAAAAAGACAAUGAUCCAUAUGGUUCAUGUUAACAGAAUCGGCUACUAAUAAGUGUUCAGUGUUAAAUCUUAUCAUCUGAUCUUCAGUGGAUAUGAGAAUAGAAAAAAAA